RNAcentral lists this ribosomal RNA (468 nucleotides) under uncultured bacterium. Its description in RNAcentral is "partial 16S ribosomal RNA". It matches the Rfam family "Bacterial small subunit ribosomal RNA", at positions 28 to 507 of the family's 1533-position model. The record is from RNAcentral.
GACGAACGCUGGCGGCGUGCUUAACACAUGCAAGUCGAACGGAAAGGCCCUGCUUUUGUGGGGUGCUCGAGUGGCGAACGGGUGAGUAACACGUGAGUAACCUGCCCUUGACUUUGGGAUAACUUCAGGAAACUGGGGCUAAUACCGGAUAGGAGCUCCUGCUGCAUGGUGGGGGUUGGAAAGUUUCGGCGGUUGGGGAUGGACUCGCGGCUUAUCAGCUUGUUGGUGGGGUAGUGGCUUACCAAGGCUUUGACGGGAAGCCGGCCUGAGAGGGUGACCGGCCACAUUGGGACUGAGAUACGGCCCAGACUCCUACGGGAGGCAGCAGUGGGGAAUAUUGCACAAUGGGCGGAAGCCUGAUGCAGCAACGCUGCGUGCGGGAUGACGGCCUUCGGGUUGUAAACCGCUUUCGCCUGUGACGAAGCGUGAGUGACGGUAAUGGGUAAAGAAGCACCGGCUAACUACGUG